AGAGUUUGAUCCUGGCUCAGGAUGAACGCUGGCGGCAUGCCUAAUACAUGCAAGUCGAACGAGAGACCUUCGGGUCUCUAGUGGCGAACGGGUGAGUAACACGUAGGGAACCUGCCCGCGCACCGGGAAUACGCUCUGGAAACGGAGAACAAAUCCCGAUGUACAGGAAGGAGGCAUCUUCUUUCUGUGAAACAUCCUUUCGGGGAUGGGGCGCGGAUGGACCUGCGGUGCAUUAGUUGGUUGGCGGGGUAAAGGCCCACCAAGACGAUGAUGCAUAGCCGGCCUGAGAGGGCGGACGGCCACAUUGGUACUGAGACACGGACCAAACUCCUACGGGAGGCAGCAGUGAGGAAUAUUGGUCAAUGGACGAAAGUCUGAACCAGCCAUGCCGCGUGCAGGAAGACGGCUCUAUGAGUUGUAAACUGCUUUUGUACAAGGGUAAACCUGAAUACGUGUAUUCAGCUGAAAGUACUGUACGAAUAAGGAUCGGCUAACUCCGUGCCAGCAGCCGCGGUAAUACGGAGGAUCCAAGCGUUAUCCGGAUUUAUUGGGUUUAAAGGGUGCGUAGGCGGAUUGAUAAGUUAGAGGUGAAAUGUCCGGGCUCAACUCGGGAACUGCCUCUAAUACUGUUGAUCUAGAGAGUAGAUGCGGUAGGCGGAAUGUAUGGUGUAGCGGUGAAAUGCUUAGAGAUCAUACAGAACACCGAUUGCGAAGGCAGCUUACCAAUCUAUAUCUGACGUUGAGGCACGAAAGCGUGGGGAGCAAACAGGAUUAGAUACCCUGGUAGUCCACGCAGUAAACGAUGAUAGCUCGUUGUCGGCGAUACACAGUCGGUGACUAAGAGAAAUCGAUAAGCUAUCCACCUGGGGAGUACGUUCGCAAGAAUGAAACUCAAAGGAAUUGACGGGGGCCCGCACAAGCGGAGGAACAUGUGGUUUAAUUCGAUGAUACGCGAGGAACCUUACCCGGGCUUGAAAGUUAGUGACUGAUCUGGAAACAGGUCUUCCCUUCGGGGCACGAAACUAGGUGCUGCAUGGUUGUCGUCGGCUCGUGCCGUGAGGUGUCGGGUUAAGUCCCAUAACGAGCGCAACCCCUACUGAUAGUUGCCAUCAGGUCAAGCUGGGCACUCUAUCGGGACUGCCGGUGUAAGCCGGAGGAGGGUGGGGAUGACGUCAAAUCAGCACGGCCCUUACGUCCGGGGCGACACACGUGUUACAAUGGCAGGUACAGCGGGAAGCCACCGGGCGACCGGGCGCGGAACCCGAAAACCUGUCUUAGUUCGGAUCGGAGUCUGCAACCCGACUCCGUGAAGUUGGAAUCGCUAGUAAUCGCGGAUCAGAAUGCCGCGGUGAAUACGUUCCCGGGUCUUGCACUCACCGCCCGUCAAG
Molecule: ribosomal RNA, 1388 nt
Filed under: uncultured bacterium
Lineage: Bacteria
Description: bacterial SSU rRNA
Rfam family: Bacterial small subunit ribosomal RNA
Source: RNAcentral